Molecule: long non-coding RNA, 260 nt
Organism: Cotesia glomerata
Lineage: Eukaryota; Metazoa; Arthropoda; Insecta; Hymenoptera; Braconidae
Exons: 2
Source: RefSeq, a predicted model, not a curated record
GGAUGGGUGACUGCUGGUGUUACAGCCGUACAAUUAUAUGUAAUGAUUUUUUUUUUUAUUUCAAUUCAUUAUAGAGAAUUGCGUAUGACUCUAUCAAAUACUAUAUCCAUAAAAUUAAGCAAAAUAAUUAAUUAAAAGUAACAAUGGGCUUUCAGACCUGACCAUGUUCUGAUUAAGCCUGAUCAGGUCAAUUCAUGCCUGAUCAGGCCUGAAGACUCAUGCCUGUUCAUGUCUGAUCAGUCCUGAUCAUUUUUUCCCGG